Molecule: unclassified non-coding RNA, 229 nt
Filed under: Hevea brasiliensis (rubber tree)
Lineage: Eukaryota; Viridiplantae; Streptophyta; Magnoliopsida; Malpighiales; Euphorbiaceae
Source: RNAcentral
GGAAUUCCUUGCAUUCCAUUUUCUGCAGGGCAACCACACGAUUCACAGCUCCUAGAUGUCAUUCUUCCACUUCUAAAGCACCUCUCGCUGCAGAACGACGUCAGGCCGGUGCUGUACGAAAGAUUCCAUAUGCCUGAAUGGUUUCAGAAGCAUGGAAUUCAAACCUAAGUUAAAUGAAGAUUUGUGCAAGAAAAAAGGUACAUUCUUCUCUGCACCAUGUCAACAGUUA